AUUGAACGCUGGCGGCAGGCCUAACACAUGCNAGUCNAGCGGAUGACGGGAGCUUGCUCCUUGAUUCANCGGCGGACGGGUGAAUAAUGCCUACGAAUCUGCCUGGUANUGGGGGACAACGUUUCGAAAGGAACGCUAAUACCGCAUACGUCCUACNGGAGAAAGCAGGGGACCUUCGGGCCUUGCGCUAUCAGAUGAGCCUAGGUCGGAUUAGCUANUAGGUGAGGUAAUGGCUCACCUAGGCGACGAUCCGUAACUGGUCUGAGAGGAUGAUCAGUCAC
This 281-nucleotide ribosomal RNA is filed under the name Amazonian soil bacterium P38. Its description in RNAcentral is "partial 16S ribosomal RNA". It matches the Rfam family "Bacterial small subunit ribosomal RNA", at positions 30 to 311 of the family's 1533-position model. The record is from RNAcentral.